This 253-nucleotide ribosomal RNA is filed under the name uncultured bacterium. RNAcentral's name for it is "partial 16S ribosomal RNA". It matches the Rfam family "Bacterial small subunit ribosomal RNA", at positions 524 to 776 of the family's 1533-position model. The record is from RNAcentral.
UACAGAGGGGGCAAGCGUUAUUCGGAAUUACUGGGCGUAAAGGGCGCGUAGGCGGCCGCCUAAGUCAGACGUGAAAUCCCUCGGCUCAACCGGGGAACUGCGUCUGAUACUGGGUGGCUUGAAUCCGGGAGAGGGAUGCGGAAUUCCAGGUGUAGCGGUGAAAUGCGUAGAUAUCUGGAGGAACACCGGUGGCGAAGGCGGCAUCCUGGACCGGUAUAGACGCUGAGGCGCGAAAGCCAGGGGAGCAAACGGG